GAUGAAGAACGCAGUGAAAUGCGAUAAGUAAUGUGAAUUGCAGAAUUCAGUGAAUCAUCGAAUCUUUGAACGCAUCUUGCGCUCCUUGGUAUUCUGAGGAGCAUGCCUGUUUGAGUGUCAUUAAAUUCUCAACUACACUGACUUUGAAUUGGUGUGGCUUGGAUUUGGGGGGAAAAUUGUUGUGGGCUUUUUGUAUAGUCUGCUCCCCUGAAAUUGAUUAGCGGUACCUUUGUGGAACUGUCUACAGGUGUGAUAAUUAUCUACAUCUUAGACAUCUGCUGGAAUGCUGCUUUCUAAACCUUACUUGUAUUGACAAUCUUGACCUCAAAUCAGGUAGGACUACCCGCUGAACUUAAGCAUAUCAAUAAGCGAGGA
This 375-nucleotide unclassified non-coding RNA is filed under the name soil metagenome. RNAcentral's name for it is "partial contains 5.8S ribosomal RNA, internal transcribed spacer 2, and large subunit ribosomal RNA". The stretch from base 1 to 120 matches the Rfam family "5.8S ribosomal RNA", at positions 35 to 154 of the family's 154-position model. The record is from RNAcentral.